RNAcentral lists this ribosomal RNA (371 nucleotides) under uncultured bacterium. Its description in RNAcentral is "bacterial SSU rRNA". It matches the Rfam family "Bacterial small subunit ribosomal RNA", at positions 525 to 896 of the family's 1533-position model. The record is from RNAcentral.
ACGAAGGGGGCUAGCGUUGUUCGGAAUUACUGGGCGUAAAGCGUGCGCAGGCGGUUUUACAAGUCAGGGGUGAAAGCCCAGAGCUCAACUCUGGAAAUGCCCUUGAAACUGUUAAGCUCGAGUGCGGGAGAGGUGAGUGGAAUUCCCAGUGUAGAGGUGAAAUUCGUAGAUAUUGGGAAGAACACCGGUGGCGAAGGCGGCUCACUGGCCCGUUUCUGACGCUCAUGCACGAUAGCGUGGGGAUCAAACAGGAUUAGAUACCCUGGUAGUCCACGCCGUAAACUAUGGACGCUAGCCGUUGGGUAGCUUGCUAUUCAGUGGCGCAGCUAACGCCUUAAGCGUCCCGCCUGGGGAGUACGGCCGCAAGGUUG